GACGAACGCUGGCGGCGUGCUUAACACAUGCAAGUCGAACGGAAAGGCCCUGCUUUUGUGGGGUGCUCGAGUGGCGAACGGGUGAGUAACACGUGAGUAACCUGCCCUUGACUUUGGGAUAACUUCAGGAAACUGGGGCUAAUACCGGAUAGGAGCUCCUGCUGCAUGGUGGGGGUUGGAAAGUUUCGGCGGUUGGGGAUGGACUCGCGGCUUAUCAGCUUGUUGGUGGGGUAGUGGCUUACCAAGGCUUUGACGGGUAGCCGGCCUGAGAGGGUGACCGGCCAAAUUGGGACUGAGAUACGGCCCAGACUCCUACGGGAGGCAGCAGUGGGGAAUAUUGCACAAUGGGCGGAAGCCUGAUGCAGCAACGCCGCGUGCGGGAUGACGGCCUUCGGGUUGUAAACCGCUUUCGCCUGCGACGAAGCGUGAGUGACGGUAAUGGGUAAAGAAGCACCGGCUAACUACGUG
RNAcentral lists this ribosomal RNA (468 nucleotides) under uncultured bacterium. RNAcentral's name for it is "partial 16S ribosomal RNA". It matches the Rfam family "Bacterial small subunit ribosomal RNA", at positions 28 to 507 of the family's 1533-position model. The record is from RNAcentral.